This 366-nucleotide unclassified non-coding RNA is filed under the name Athalia rosae (coleseed sawfly). RNAcentral describes it as "misc RNA ENSAEAG00005002029.1". The record is from RNAcentral. Lineage: Eukaryota; Metazoa; Arthropoda; Insecta; Hymenoptera; Athaliidae.
AACAAGGACACCACCGACCAGCUGGGUUAUCAAUGCCGAAAAAAAUGCCACCCUGCGUCCGUAUUUGUCUGACAUUCCACCGAAAAUCAUCGAUCCCAGCAUCACUCCGACCAUGAAAAGCGAAUCUCCGAGGGCUCGGAGCCAAGCUUUGUCGCAAACCAGAUUCCACUGGAAGAAAAUAUCGGUAAACUGUAAUUUCUAGCUGCUGCUGAAUCCAUUCCAAGAACUUGAGUGAACCGAAGGUUUGAACGAGAGUGCCUCACAGAAGACACGUUGUUUUAUGGAUCAUGUGAAAACACAUGAGUAAGUAAAGCACAUGCUGAGACAUUAGAUUUUAAUUUUAUUCGACAGGAGUAAAAAGCUGGG